GAUGAAGAACGCAGCGAAAUGCGAUAAGUAAUGUGAAUUGCAGAAUUCAGUGAAUCAUCGAAUCUUUGAACGCACCUUGCGCCCUUUGGCCAUUCCGAAGGGCAUGCCUGUUUGAGUAUCAUGAACACCUCAACUCUUUAUGGUUUUCCAUGAUGAGCUUGGACUUUGGGGGUUUUGCUGGCCUAUGGUCGGCUCCUCUAAAAUAAAUCAGCUUACCGGUGUUUGGUGGGUAUCAUGGGUGUGAUAACUAUCUACGCUUGUGGUUUUUCCACCAGGUAACCUUCGACAGCGGAGGUUCACUGGAGCGCACAGAUGUCUCUCCUCAGCGAGGACAGCCCUUUGAAUGUUUGAUCUCAAAUCAGGUAGGACUACCCGCUGAACUUAAGCAUAUCAAUAAGCGGAGGA
This 405-nucleotide unclassified non-coding RNA is filed under the name soil metagenome. RNAcentral describes it as "partial contains 5.8S ribosomal RNA, internal transcribed spacer 2, and large subunit ribosomal RNA". The stretch from base 1 to 121 matches the Rfam family "5.8S ribosomal RNA", at positions 35 to 154 of the family's 154-position model. The record is from RNAcentral.